AUUGAACGCUGGCGGCAUGCCUUACACAUGCAAGUCGAACGGUAACAGGUCUUCGGAUGCUGACGAGUGGCGAACGGGUGAGUAAUACAUCGGAACGUGCCUAGUAGUGGGGGAUAGCUACUCGAAAGAGUGGCUAAUACCGCAUGAGAUCUACGGAUGAAAGCAGGGGAUCGCAAGACCUUGUGCUACUAGAGCGGCCGAUGGCAGAUUAGGUAGUUGGUGGGAUAAAAGCUUACCAAGCCGACGAUCUGUAGCUGGUCUGAGAGGACGAUCAGCCACACUGGGACUGAGACACGGCCCAGACUCCUACGGGAGGCAGCAGUGGGGAAUGUUGGACAAUGGGCGCAAGCCUGAUCCAGCAAUGCCGCGUGCAGGAUGAAGGCCUUCGGGUUGUAAACUGCUUUUGUACGGAACGAAAAGCCCCGGGUUAAUACCCUGGGGUCAUGACGGUACCGUAAGAAUAAGCACCGGCUAACUACGUGCCAGCAGCCGCGGUAA
RNAcentral lists this ribosomal RNA (498 nucleotides) under uncultured bacterium. RNAcentral's name for it is "partial 16S ribosomal RNA". It matches the Rfam family "Bacterial small subunit ribosomal RNA", at positions 30 to 523 of the family's 1533-position model. The record is from RNAcentral.